UAUCUCUGUAGAGUCUGCAUAUCAAUAAGCGGAGGAAAAGAAACUAACAAGGAUUCCCUUAGUAACGGCGAGUGAAGCGGGAAGAGCUCAAAUUUGAAAUCUUCAAGGUUUGACCUUGACGAAUUGUAGUUUAAAGAAGUGUUUUCGGUUAGAGGAGUAGUAAAAGUUCUUUGGAAUAGGACAUCAUAGAGGGUGAGAAUCCCGUAUUUGACUAUUCUUUCUAGCUUUGUGAUACACUUUCAAAGAGUCGGAUUGUUUGGGAAUGCAGUCCAAAAUGGGUGGUAAAUUUCAUCUAAAGCUAAAUAUUGGCGAGAGACCGAUAGCGAACAAGUACCGUGAGGGAAAGAUGAAAAGAACUUUGAAAAGAGAGUUAAACAGUACGUGAAAUUGUCAAAAGGGAAGCGUUUGACACCAGUGUUGUUUUUCCGAAAAUCAAUUACGAAUGGCUUGAUUCUGUGUUGUAUUGACCUUAUCAGCUUUCUUCACUUUUUUCAAGUCUUUCUUAAUGCACUUUUCGGUUAACAAGUCAACAUCAAUUUCUUUUGUUGUAAAAGAGUAUUCGGAAGGUGGCUUUCUUUUCGGAGAAAGUGUUUAUAGCCCUAUACUUCUACAAUCGGAGAGAUUGAGGUCUGCAGCGUAGAUCCUUCGGGGUUAGAUACACUUGUGCUAAGUUGUAGCUUUUCAUAGACAACUUGUUGACUAUGUUUAGUCAUGCGGCUUACUCGCUUGUGCUAUUUUACCUACGCUUAGGAUGUUGAGCGCAUGUCUCUCUCU
RNAcentral lists this ribosomal RNA (774 nucleotides) under uncultured Neocallimastigales. Its description in RNAcentral is "partial large subunit ribosomal RNA". It matches the Rfam family "Eukaryotic large subunit ribosomal RNA", at positions 24 to 639 of the family's 3401-position model. The record is from RNAcentral. Lineage: Eukaryota; Fungi; Neocallimastigomycota; Neocallimastigomycetes; Neocallimastigales.